This 523-nucleotide ribosomal RNA is filed under the name Boana raniceps (Chaco treefrog). RNAcentral describes it as "Hypsiboas raniceps (Chaco treefrog) partial 16S ribosomal RNA". It matches the Rfam family "Bacterial large subunit ribosomal RNA", at positions 1922 to 2596 of the family's 2925-position model. Lineage: Eukaryota; Metazoa; Chordata; Amphibia; Anura; Hylidae. The record is from RNAcentral.
GUUCAACGGCCGCGGUAUCCUAACCGUGCGAAGGUAGCGUAAUCACUUGUUCUUUAAAUGAGGACUAGUAUGAAUGGCACCACGAGGGUUAAACUGUCUCCUUUUUUUAAUCAGUGAAACUAAUCUCCCCGUGAAGAAGCGGGGAUUCUUUUAUAAGACGAGAAGACCCUAUGGAGCUUUAAACAAGUUAACACCUGCUACUAAUCUUCACUUUCCUGAACCACCACAUUAAGUAUAGCACCUCUGAUUAACAGUUUUCGAUUGGGGUGAUCAUGGAGCAAAAAUCAACCUCCACGACGAAAAGGAACACCUCCUUGAGCCAAAAGCUACAACUUUAAGCACUAAAAAACUAACGCACUUUGACCCAAUUCUUUGAGCAACGAACCAAGUUACCCUAGGGAUAACAGCGCAAUCCACUUUAAGAGCUCCUAUCGACAAGUGGGUUUACGACCUCGAUGUUGGAUCAGGGUAUCCCAGUGGUGCAGCCGCUACUAAAGGUUCGUUUGUUCAACGAUUAAAACCC